Molecule: long non-coding RNA, 393 nt
Filed under: Ixodes scapularis (black-legged tick)
Lineage: Eukaryota; Metazoa; Arthropoda; Arachnida; Ixodida; Ixodidae
Description: uncharacterized LOC121837937, transcript variant X3
Source: RNAcentral
GUUUGAACCUUCAACGUGCGUGGGUCAAAUGAUUGUUCAGGAAGUCUGUAUGAUGACGAAAAAACUGCAGGUGACUAGAAGCUGCCGAUGAGCUGCCAGUCCGGAUGGCAGCUAUCAACACGGCAAGGACCUGCAGGCGCAUCAGCUCUCCUCCCGUUCCUCUACUGCCAUUGGAGACAGGAUGCUUUGUAAAAGUGGGAGCUCAGGAAGGUGGCACUGUGCACAGAGGGACAGAGUGGCUGACAGUGAGCUGCCCAAGACAACCUGCUGGCUCUCGAGACCAUCUCCGAAAGCCUCUGGAUGGGCUAAUUGACAGGCGUGCCUGGACAUUUAUAAACGGCUGCUCUUAUAUGCACCAUGAAGAUAUCGAAGAGGUCUCCAAUUGAAGGACAA